This 178-nucleotide ribosomal RNA is filed under the name uncultured bacterium. RNAcentral's name for it is "partial 16S ribosomal RNA". It matches the Rfam family "Bacterial small subunit ribosomal RNA", at positions 1322 to 1500 of the family's 1533-position model. The record is from RNAcentral.
GAAGCCGGAAUUGCUAGUAAUGGCAGGUCAGCAUACUGCCGUGAAUACGUUCCCGGGCCUUGUACACACCGCCCGUCACACCAUAAGAGUUGGAAUACCCGAAGCCUGUGAGCUAACAUUUAUGAGGCAGCAGUCGAAGGUAGAAUCAAUGAUUGGGGUGAAGUCGUAACAAGGUAGC